Molecule: transfer RNA, 84 nt
Filed under: Planctomycetota bacterium
Lineage: Bacteria; Pseudomonadati; Planctomycetota
Description: tRNA-Leu
Rfam family: tRNA
About the family: Transfer RNA (tRNA) molecules are approximately 80 nucleotides in length. Their secondary structure includes four short double-helical elements and three loops (D, anti-codon, and T loops). Further hydrogen bonds mediate the characteristic L-shaped molecular structure. tRNAs have two regions of fundamental functional importance: the anti-codon, which is responsible for specific mRNA codon recognition, and the 3' end, to which the tRNAs corresponding amino acid is attached (by aminoacyl-tRNA synthetases). tRNAs cope with the degeneracy of the genetic code in two manners: having more than one tRNA (with a specific anti-codon) for a particular amino acid; and 'wobble' base-pairing, i.e. permitting non-standard base-pairing at the 3rd anti-codon position.
Source: RNAcentral
GGGCGCGUGGCGGAACUGGCAGACGCGUUAGGUUCAGGACCUAAUGGCCGCAAGGCUGUGGAGGUUCAACUCCUCUCGCGCCCA